RNAcentral lists this ribosomal RNA (252 nucleotides) under uncultured bacterium. Its description in RNAcentral is "partial 16S ribosomal RNA". It matches the Rfam family "Bacterial small subunit ribosomal RNA", at positions 524 to 776 of the family's 1533-position model. The record is from RNAcentral.
UACGGAGGAUGCGAGCGUUAUCCGGAUUUAUUGGGUUUAAAGGGUGCGUAGGCGGACUGUCAAGUCAGCGGUAAAAUUGAGAGGCUCAACCUCUUCCCGCCGUUGAAACUGGUGGUCUUGAGUGGAUGAGAAGUACGCGGAAUGCGUGGUGUAGCGGUGAAAUGCAUAGAUAUCACGCAGAACUCCGAUUGCGAAGGCAGCGUACCGGCAUCCAACUGACGUUGAGGCUCGAAAGCGUGGGGAGCAAACAGG